UGCUCUCUGCCCUGCAAGUGAGGUUGUAACGCCCACUCGGAAUGUUUUGAAUUCGGGGAAGCUUUCAGGGGCGCGGUGAGCCAGCCCGCCAUUGAAGCGGGACGCCUAAAGUGCCUACAAGCUACCCCACCUGGAUGGCCGUCGAUGUGUGGCCACCGACCCACGGCAGGAGUGGAGGGGCU
This 182-nucleotide non-coding RNA is filed under the name Deltaproteobacteria bacterium. Its description in RNAcentral is "6S RNA". It matches the Rfam family "6S / SsrS RNA". From Rfam's summary of the family: E. coli 6S RNA was the first non coding RNA to be sequenced, but its function was unknown until recently. It consists of 184 nucleotides that fold into an extended hairpin structure with a large single-stranded internal bulge. Lineage: Bacteria; Pseudomonadati; Myxococcota; Myxococcia. The record is from RNAcentral.